RNAcentral lists this long non-coding RNA (1521 nucleotides) under Homo sapiens (human). Its description in RNAcentral is "non-protein coding LINC01193:1". The record is from RNAcentral. Lineage: Eukaryota; Metazoa; Chordata; Mammalia; Primates; Hominidae.
CUUGUAAUACAUUUUACAUCAUCAUCUGCUGCUUGGUUUGAUGUUCCCAUAACCCAGACUGUCAGGUAUUCUACAAUCUUAUUCCUAAAUUUCAUCUCUUGGCAAAAUAAGAGGUCAUCUCUCCUUGCCAUCGUUACUUCAACCAACUGACACAGUUUCGUUUUUAUUUGAAUUGCAUGGACCAUAUUCCCAAGCACACGAACAUACCUGACCAGAUAUAACAUCAUUGGUUCAAUGCUAGCUUGCCCUAGAUGUUCAGAGCUGCCUUCAGUAUGAUUAUCUAGCAAGUUCUUCAUUAUAGCUAUGGUUUGCUCUACAAAUUGAGUGUUGGUAUCCGUCAAUAAAAGUUGCAGGCUAUCGUGUGUUAACCUGUACUUCUGCCGCAGAGUUUGGAGAAAGCGGCAGCAGAUUGUGCUGCCGCAGGCUGGAGCCUGGAACCUGGAGCCCUGGAGCCUUGAAUGGUGUGUGGUGGCAAUGGAGAGAGGCAGCUGGCAGUGACAGCUGCUCCGUGCUUGGCUACAGGAAGGAAAGAAGGAGAAAGCACCUACCAUAGGCUGGAGGCUAGAGCCUGCAGGACUGCGGCUGGCCUCGCUGGCUCGCCUCCCUGGCUGGCCUCGCUGUGGUUGGUGGCAGCGACGGAUACUGCAGCUGGCCAGAGUGUAGAAAGGCAAUGGGGUAGGCGCAGUCCUGGUGGGCCCAGCGGUUCCUGUGGAUUGGAGCCAGGCAGUGUGAUGUUACCAGUCACCACUCCAGGUCCCAGUUCCUGGCCCGCUUGAGCCAAAAGGAGAGGCUGGACUUUGGAGGGUGGAUAUGAGUGCCUUCACUGAGACUGGCCCCUGCCACCCAGUGGCCAGGAUGACAAGUUAUUAUAUGCAAAUAACAUUUUCCCGCCAUCGUUAUGGAAAAUUCUAUAUUUUGUCAACGUUCAUUUUCUUCUCAAAAGCCUUUUGUUAUUAUUUCCAAAUGAAUAUUAUGUGUGUCUCAGACAACCACAGAAAGUUUUGUUUUUGUCACAUUCUACUGCUACUGUGUCAAUGGCAGCAUUUUGAUAUAGGUGGAGGGACGCUCACAUCAACCCCAUAAUUUGUGUCAGCUUCUCCUGAAGUUAUCAGAAGCAUACAAUUUAAGUAAAAACAGUAUCUUCGCUAUCCAAAUGAUGUUCCAAGGUAAAUCUCCUCAGAUCCCUUCCAGUACAUGUAUGCUCCAAGGCCUGCCCUAUGUAGAACUUUUGGAGCCAUCAACGUACUGCUUGAGGUUGCUUUGAACAAAAGGUAUUUGACAUAAGCUCUAUAAGAUCAGGGACUCUUUUUUAUUUUAUUCAUUGUUCUUUAUCUUCUAGAGCAAUAAUUUGCAAAAUGACUAUUUAUUGAAUAAACUAGGACGGAGGUGAAAAGGAAAGAACAGCUCAUCCUUCCAAGGGGAAGAGAGCAGUAUCCCAAAUCCAAAUUGAAGAAAAUAAACAUAUAUCUAUUCACCAGAAGAGAUAGAAGGGAGACAGGGCAGAAUUUCUGUGGUUCUUAC